AUGCCUGGCACAAGUGGGGGCUCGAGAGCAAGAGGGAAGUUUUGGACGAUGGCGUCUUCCUCGGACGGUCCCAGGAGUGUGGCUGUUUUGAAAAAUCAGGCGUUCCUGCCAGAGGCGCUUCAGGCUUUCAACAGCCCUCUUAGGAAUGGAAGACAGCCCCUGAGUAGAAAUAAAGGAAGGGGAAGAGUGCUUAUGAAGUGCGUGAUCGGUGUUUUCAGUCGGAUCACUCAGGGGGACGUCCCGCAGGUACAAUCGGAGUCAGCCGCUGGGGGGGGGGGGGGCGUUCAAAAUAUUAACGUAACAAGGGCUGAUUGGACUUCUUCUAUGAAUGAGGCCCAUCAUUAUCAUCCCCUCGGCCCCCUGUCUCUGGGCAGUGCUCCUCUUUCUCAGGAUCCCAGUGAUUAA
RNAcentral lists this long non-coding RNA (405 nucleotides) under Felis catus (domestic cat). RNAcentral's name for it is "lncRNA (ENSFCAG00000052645.1)". Lineage: Eukaryota; Metazoa; Chordata; Mammalia; Carnivora; Felidae. The record is from RNAcentral.